UUUUAUAGGUUACUUUGCGAAAGGCCCUCGAGCAUCCCAGUGCUCGCUCUCAUCUUGCCUUGCACCACCUUCGACAUAAACUUACCUCAUUAGUAUAUAAAAGCUUGCCUGAUCUUCCCAAGCACAUAUACUUUCACCCUAUACCAUCAUACGCCAACAGACAAGUGUUAAGAGGUAUAUCAUACAUAUACUUCAUUACUUAGUUAAAGUACGACUUUCCAUCUCAUCUCCAAGGCCGGAGCUUGUUGUUGGGACAAGUCGUAACACUCCUCCCCUUUCUCCGCCCCAAUUAUGCUAAUCGUUGUUGUUCCUAUUAUCUUUCAUGUCCAUUUCUAAUGAACGGCAAACAGACUUAAUUUCAUACCAGAAACAUUUUUGUUCAGAUUUACAACAUGCAUUUUGUGG
This 405-nucleotide small RNA is filed under the name Cryptococcus neoformans H99. RNAcentral describes it as "Cryptococcus neoformans var. grubii H99 hypothetical RNA". Lineage: Eukaryota; Fungi; Basidiomycota; Tremellomycetes; Tremellales; Cryptococcaceae. The record is from RNAcentral.